Molecule: ribosomal RNA, 460 nt
Filed under: uncultured bacterium
Lineage: Bacteria
Description: partial 16S ribosomal RNA
Rfam family: Bacterial small subunit ribosomal RNA
Source: RNAcentral
CCUACGGGCGGCAGCAGUGAGGAAUAUUGGUCAAUGGACGAGAGUCUGAACCAGCCAAGUAGCGUGAAGGAUGACUGCCCUAUGGGUUGUAAACUUCUUUUAUAUGGGAAUAAAAUGUUCCACGUGUGGGAUUUUGUAUGUACCCUAUGAAUAAGGAUCGGCUAACUCCGUGCCAGCAGCCGCGGUAAUACGGAGGAUCCGAGCGUUAUCCGGAUUUAUUGGGUUUAAAGGGAGCGUAGGUGGAUUGUUAAGUCAGUUGUGAAAGUUUGCGGCUCAACCGUAAAAUUGCAGUUGAAACUGGCAGUCUUGAGUACAGUAGAGGUGGGCGGAAUUCGUGGUGUAGCGGUGAAAUGCUUAGAUAUCACGAAGAACUCCGAUUGCGAAGGCAGUUCACUGGACUGCAACUGACACUGAGGCUCGAAAGUGUGGGUAUCAAACAGGAUUAGAUACCCGGGUAGUC